Molecule: ribosomal RNA, 998 nt
Filed under: Bacillus anthracis (anthrax bacterium)
Lineage: Bacteria; Bacillati; Bacillota; Bacilli; Caryophanales; Bacillaceae
Description: partial 23S ribosomal RNA
Rfam family: Bacterial large subunit ribosomal RNA
Source: RNAcentral
ACGGUCCUAAGGUAGCGAAAUUCCUUGUCGGGUAAGUUCCGACCUGCACGAAUGGCGUAAUGAUGGCCAGGCUGUCUCCACCCGAGACUCAGUGAAAUUGAACUCGCUGUGAAGAUGCAGUGUACCCGCGGCAAGACGGAAAGACCCCGUGAACCUUUACUAUAGCUUGACACUGAACAUUGAGCCUUGAUGUGUAGGAUAGGUGGGAGGCUUUGAAGUGUGGACGCCAGUCUGCAUGGAGCCGACCUUGAAAUACCACCCUUUAAUGUUUGAUGUUCUAACGUGGACCCGUUACCCGGGUUGCGGACAGUGUCUGGUGGGUAGUUUGACUGGGGCGGUCUCCUCCUAAAGAGUAACGGAGGAGCACGAAGGUUGGCUAAUCCUGGUCGGACAUCAGGAGGUUAGUGCAAUGGCAUAAGCCAGCUUGACUGCGAGCGUGACGGCGCGAGCAGGUGCGAAAGCAGGUCAUAGUGAUCCGGUGGUUCUGAAUGGAAGGGCCAUCGCUCAACGGAUAAAAGGUACUCCGGGGAUAACAGGCUGAUACCGCCCAAGAGUUCAUAUCGACGGCGGUGUUUGGCACCUCGAUGUCGGCUCAUCACAUCCUGGGGCUGAAGCAGGUCCCAAGGGUAUGGCUGUUCGCCAUUUAAAGUGGUACGCGAGCUGGGUUUAGAACGUCGUGAGACAGUUCGGUCCCUAUCUGCCGUGGGCGCUGGAGAACUGAGGGGGGCUGCUCCUAGUACGAGAGGACCGGAGUGGACGCAUCACUGGUGUUCGGGUUGUCAUGCCAAUGGCACUGCCCGGUAGCUAAAUGCGGAAGAGAUAAGUGCUGAAAGCAUCUAAGCACGAAACUUGCCCCGAGAUGAGUUCUCCCUGAGACUUAGAGUCUCCUGAAGGAACGUUGAAGACGACGACGUUGAUAGGCCGGGUGUGUAAGCGCAGCGAUGCGUUGAGCUAACCGGUACUAAUGAACCGUGAGGCUUAACCUUACAACGCCGAAG